GACGAACGCUGGCGGCGUGCUUAACACAUGCAAGUCGAACGGAAAGGCCCUGCUUUUGUGGGGUGCUCGAGUGGCGAACGGGUGAGUAACACGUGAGUAACCUGCCCUUGACUUUGGGAUAACUUCAGGAAACUGGGGCUAAUACCGGAUAGGAGCUCCUGCCGCAUGGUGGGGGUUGGAAAGAUUUUUUGGAUGGGGAUGGGCUCACGGCCUAUCAGCUUGUUGGCGGGGUGAUGGCCUACCAAGGCGUCGACGGGUAGCCGGCCUGAGAGGGUGACCGGCCACAUUGGGACUGAGAUACGGCCCAG
This 308-nucleotide ribosomal RNA is filed under the name uncultured bacterium. RNAcentral describes it as "bacterial SSU rRNA". It matches the Rfam family "Bacterial small subunit ribosomal RNA", at positions 28 to 334 of the family's 1533-position model. The record is from RNAcentral.